This 4602-nucleotide long non-coding RNA is filed under the name Homo sapiens (human). Its description in RNAcentral is "non-protein coding lnc-ZNF485-68:5". The record is from RNAcentral. Lineage: Eukaryota; Metazoa; Chordata; Mammalia; Primates; Hominidae.
AGAUGCCAUGAGUCCAAAGGAAUCAUCCCGCCCCCAGCAGACAAGCGUGGAGCCAGCCUGCUCCUCUGGCCAAAGCAUUCCACCCCCGGACCUCUCCUCCAGGUACUUCCUGUCCAGACGGGCAGUGGCCCCAGAGCCUGGGAAACCUGCCCCACAGGUGAGGGCAAGGGGUGUGUCUGAAGUGGGUGAGAGGCUGGUAUGAGCCUUGGUUGCUGCUCUGGAAACAGGAAGAAGAGAUGUGGAAGAAGAGAUGUGGGUAUGGUGGAUUCUGACCCUUGGCUCCCCAAAGUUCCACAGGUGCCAUUGACCUUUAGAUGGGCUGUACGGUGUGGGGUUCGGUGCCAUGGAUCUGCUUCUCCAGGGACCAGGAUCUUGAGAUCUUCAGGCUGGGUUUCCAUGGAGGCAUGGAGCUGCUUUUCCUCCUUCAUAACUGCACUCAAAACAGCCCUGUUGCUCUAGAAUGGAGACUUGGGCAACUCCUUCUGGCACAGAUUUGUUCACCUCAGGUGAAAUUCAGAUAGAAGCAAGCUGCAGGCAGUUUCACCUCUAAGUCCAUGGGUUCUCAACUGGUAACGUCCUCUUAUGGAUGUUAGCCCAUGAGGUCAAUCCUGUAGCAAUCUAAGGCUUGAGAAAAAUUAAUCUUCUGGAAAAUUCCAAGAAUACAUCUUAGGGAAACUGGCUCUACCUUUAUGACUUGGAUCACACAAGGAUAUGCUUUUCAUCUUGGACUAGAACUGAGAGCCAAUGGAUGUGUUAUCUAAAACUAUCCCAGUGUGUUCACUAUACAGAGGAAGAUUCUGAGAUUCAAGACUCAAGACUGAAGAAGAUCAUUAUUUUUAUUAUUUUAGUCUUAUGCACAAAAUGAUAUCUACUGAAUAAGCAGGUUUUUAAUAGGUGACUUAUAUAUGUUAGCAAAAAUAAACACUUUGUCUUUUAGAUCUAUUCUAGUUUUUCAGUAGCUGUAGACUUAAGUGCUAACUUUUAGCCCAUAGGAUAAGAAGAAACCAAGUCCUAAAAGUAGGCCAGCACCAGGGUUCAGGCCUCUGACUUCAAGCCAAGGGCUCAUCAUCUUGAAUUGCGCACGAAUUUUUACACAGCGCCAAAGGAAACUGCCUGUACUUACUGUUGUAGGUGCUUUGCUGGAUUCAGGAUGCAGACAAGGUCCACGCAUUGUGGUUGGAACAAUGACUAGAUCUUUACCUGGUCCACAGCCCUCCCCAGUCUGGCUGCAACCUCUCAUGAGGCUGAGCUCACCAUGAACCCCUGCUCUAGGCGUCUGCAUAGUGUUCUGUUUGUCCCCGUGACUGUCCACCUCUUCUUUGGCCUGUUGGCAUGCGCUUAUCCUCCAGACCUCAGUCCAAAGUUCAGUCCCGGAGCAGACACAACCCUGUUUGCAGAGAGCCAACAUUCUAAUUGACAGUGCGUGGUGGGAAACAGUGAACCGAGGGAAAGAGUGCCAGUGUUAGAGAGCCACAGUGCAGUGAAGAAGAGAAGGCAAGAGGAUGUGAUGCAAAAUCACAGGACCUGGCUUCCAGACCAUUCUGCUUCCAUGAGAACAUUUCAGUUGAGAACCGGAUGGCAUGAAAGUAAGCCAGAAGACACCAGGCAGGGAAAGACUGGUCUCCAGGUGCAAAUGAGGUUGGAGCAUUUGGGACUGCAAAGAAUGUGGAGCGUGGUGAAUGAGAUGGCCCUUUGUAUCAGAUGCAUGCAUGAGUGGCUGGGGUCAUGUGUGUGCUUCAGUAGAGGGUACCACGGGGACACUAAGAAAUCUGGGUUUCUUUCUGAGGGCCUGGGAAGCCACCAGAAAGCAUUGAGUAGGGAGUGGUGGAUUGAUUUAUGUGUUUAUGAAAUCAUGCUGGGUGCUGGGUGGUGCAUGCUUAUUGGGACAGAGAACAAGGUUGGAAUUGCGGAGACCACAGCUAAGAGCCAGUUGCAGAGCCAGGCUCAUUGUGAUUCAACCUGGGAGGCAUUGGGGAUGAAAGCGAUGAGGCCAGUGAGGAUGUAUUUCUACAUAUAAUAUGGAUUAGGUAGAUGGGUUUAUACGUAAUGUAGAUUAGACUCAGAAAUCAAACUGGAGCCAAUGGCGGACACUUGAUGGAAGGUGUACUUCAAUUUCUUCCAUUCUAUAGAAAAGCAAUACAGUGGAAAGAGUAUGGGAUUUGGUGUCUUUCAGACAGGAUUCCACUUGCAAGCCGUGUGAUAUGGGGCAGCUCACCAGAUCCUGGACCUCCAUAAACCCCUCUGCAACGUGGAGAGAAUCAGAUUUCCCCACAGACUCCAUGAAGGGCUCCAGAGUGCCCUCCCCCGUUAGCCACUGAUGCAUUCAUGAGGAAGAGAAAGAGUUAAAUGCUCCUUUCGAGGAAGCGGUGGUGGCCGAGUGCUGUGGGCACUGUGAGAUCAGAGCUGACAGCCCAGACUGAAUCGCAACCCUCACUAGGGCCAUCGCGUUUUGCAGGGAGCUCUUCCCAAGUGCCCACUUUUACUAAAUUACAGAAAAUACCUAACAGGAUAGUUUCUUCGUGUUUUAAAAAUCAAUGAUCAAUUUUUGUUUUGUUUUGUUUUUAAAAUACAGUGUUUUCAGAGAUAAGAGUAUUACAUUGGAAACCUGUUGUGACACAGAAAAUUAGAUGAGCCUGUGGUUGAUUAAAACAGUCAAGUUGACCUACGUGUCAUCUCAGUGCACAGUAAGGAAGCGUCUUCAGCUUAGAAAAUUGCUGGGAUGAACACAAACAAAUCUAGUUCUUUGGAAUGAGAAUUUUCAGAUUUUGGAUUUAUGGUCAGAAAUGGCUGAGUCCCAGGGCCAGGAGCGGUGGCUCAUGCCUGUAAUCCCAGCACUUUGGGAGGCCAAGGCAGAUGGAUCGCCUGAGAUCAGGAGUUCGAGACCAGCCUGGCCAACAAAGUGAAACCCUGUCUGUACUAAAAAUACAAACUUUAGCUGAGCGAGGUGGCGAACACCUGUAAUCUCAGCUACUUGGGAGGCUGAGGCAGGAGAAUCAACUGAACCCAGGAGAUGGAGGUUGCAGUGAGCUGAGAUCAUACCAUUGUACUCCAGCCUGGGCAACAAGAGUGAAACUCCGUCUCAAAAAAAAGAAAAGAAAAAAGAAAGAAACUGCUGAGUCCUGAAAUACUGAUAAAAUGACCAGCCCUGUUCACGUUCAAAACCUGACACUUUUAGUGUCAGGGUGACCAGGAAUUGUGGCUGUAAAGGAAGCCUGAGACUUCUCUGGUUCUGGCAUGAAAGAAUUUUCCAAAACUAUGUAGACGCUGGGGCCUUACAAGUUUGAUAUUAGUGUAAACAAAUGUAUUCUCAACAAGAAUAUAGAUGAGUUUGCAAUGAAUUUCAGAAUACUUAACUCCAGGCUUAUAAGAGAUUAAAUAAUUCUUUAAAAUGGAUUCUCAAGCACUUUAUUUAUGCUACUCAUGGGAGCUACACUGGCAAGGGAGGUCACAGUUUCUGACGUGCCUUUUUUCUAAACUUCUGACUUUGUUUGUACACAUGCAGAACAUGAUUUAACUAUUGGGAUCCCAAUCCUCUAUAUUGGGGGAUUUUUCUUUAUAUUUUUUACCUUUUGAUAAAGUAGAUCUUUAGAAAUCAGAAUUCCUGAGUUUCCAGCACUGUCAAAUUUAGAUUCUUGGGAAUGCUGAGGUCUAACCUUGACUCUUUCAAAUGAAUGCUGGUGAACUUGUCUAAACUCCUGUUCCUGCAUUCAGUUUCUCCCUCUGUGAAGCGGAGGCAAUGUCACUCCCUCCUUUUAAAAUCCUUAAGGUUUGGGAAAGGUUUUCAGAGUAGUCAAAUAAUUUAAUACCCUUAGGUAAAAUGUGCUUUCAAAUUGUAUUUCUACCCAUGGAAAUGAAGAUUAGUCUCUUCAUUUUUUUUCUUAGAAUGGCCACUGGGAGAUUCUGCUAAAAUAAAAGAUUUUUUUUUUAAUAGUGCUGUUCAGGGGUGUUCGGAUUCGAUUGCCUUUCUUCUAACUCAAGGGUGAGUUUCAGAGACCCUGGUUCACACAGGACGGGGCAACUUCCGUCGUGUCCUUCUCAGAUGAGGCAUCUCACACUCGUCUUGUCUUGUGAAUAACUGCACAACUGGUCAUGAGGAAUGCUACAGUGUGGCCUGUCACGGGAGCCCACCUCGCACACAUUUAAGGCCAAUACACGUCUGGAGCUUUGACAGGGCUGUGUUUAUGUCUGCCUUUCACGAAAAUUGGUAUUCCUCUCAUCUUUUAUUUCAGCAGUUACAGUUAAACUACACCUUGAUGAACUACGCGUGUCUAUUCUCCCCAGUUCCCGGCCCACCUCCCUCAGCAACCCUCCCACAAACUGAAAUGGAAGCCGGGCUGUGAAACAUGAAACAGGCUGUUAUAAAACUGUAUUUUAUAGUUGCAGCAUGUUACAGUUGAAGGUGUGUUUACGUAGCUGAGGAGACAGAAACACCAGUCUUCCCACUCCAGAGUUUACCUAACUUCCUUCAGGACUAAGGGUAGAGCUGUAGAUCACAAUGUACCCCUUGGGGAGCUAAAGAGGAAGAGAAAGAGUUAAACACUCCUUUAGAUGAAGUCCACAUGCUAAGAAACAAAAUGAAUGGCACAAACAAACACUUCUGGG